Molecule: long non-coding RNA, 1597 nt
Filed under: Homo sapiens (human)
Lineage: Eukaryota; Metazoa; Chordata; Mammalia; Primates; Hominidae
Description: HSALNT0333945
Source: RNAcentral
UCCCAAAGUGCUGGGAUUACAGGCAUGAGCCACCACACCUGGCCUAAAGUCCUUUUAAAAAAAAAAAAAAAGCGCAAAAGGCUUGCACAGACACCACCAAAUGAGACAUCUGGAUGAUAAAUAAGUACAUGAAGAAAUGCUCAACAAUUGGUCAUCAGGGAAAUGCAAGUUAAAACCACAACAAGGAACCAUCACACACUCACUAGAAUGACUUUUUUUUUUAAUUGACAGUUCCAAGUGUUGGUAAAGAUGUAGAACAACUGAAACUUUCAUACACUGCUGGUGGAAAUAUAAAAUGGUACACCCACUUUGGAGAAAUGUUUGACAGUUUCUUACAAAAUUAAACACCAUAUCAUCCAGUAAUCCUACUCCUGGAUAUUUACCCAAGAUAAACUAAGAUAUAUGUCCACAAAAAGAUAUACUAGGAUGUUUACAGGAGUUUUAUUCAUAAUAGUAAAAAACUAGAAAUAGCCCAAAGUCCAUCAACAGAUAAAAGGAUAAACGGUGAUAUAUUCAUACAAUAGACUUCUACUCAGCAAUUAAAAGGAACAAGCUACUGAUAGAUGCCAUGGCAUGGAUAAAUCACAUAGACAUGCUGAGUCAUAGAAGUCAGACACAAAAGACUACUGUUAUGAACUGAUUGUGUCCCUCGCAAAAUUCGUAAGUUGAAAUCCUUUCCUACAAUGUGACUGUAUUUGGAGAUGGGGCCUUUAAAGAGGUAAUUAAAGUUAAAUGAAGUCAAAGGGCCAAUAAGUCAAAUCCAAUAGGAACCUAUUGAAUUGGGGCUCUAACCCAAUAGGACUAGUGUCCUUAUAAAAAGAGGAAGAGACACCAAAGAUGUGUGUGUCCUGAGAAAAGGCCAUGUGAGGACACAGCCAGAAGACAGCCAUCUGCAAGCCAAAGAGAGAGGCCUCAGAAGAAACCAAACCUGCCGACAUCUUCAUCUUGGACUUCCAGUCUUUAAAACUGUAAAAAAUAAAUUUCCAUUGCUUAAGCCACCCAGUCUGUGGUAUUUUUUGGCAGCUCUACCUGCCAAAUACAACUACAUAUUGUACAAUUCUAUUUAUAUGAAGUUUUAGAACAGGUAAGGCAGAUCAGUGGUUGCCUGGGCCCUGGGAUAAGGAGACAGAUACUGACUGCAAACGGGGACAAGGAAACCUUUGGGGAUGAUGGAAAUAUUCUGUUUUACUGUGGUGGUGGCUGCAUGGAUAUAUGUAUUUGUAAAACUCAUCAAAAUGUACACUUAAAAUUGGCACAUUUAUGAAAAUUAUACCUCAAUAAAGUUGAUUUUAAAAGAAAAUAUUUCUCUGUGGAAUGUGGAUGUCUGAAAUUCAGAAAAGGAAACAAAAUAUUUGGUAAAAAGCAUAGACAAACUAUGGAAUGGAAUGUAAGGGAGUUGUGAAGUCUGCCAGUGCUUCAUAACUUUCAUUCUGCAAUUUUGAAUGUUUAGAGAGGUGCAUUCCCAGCAAACAAGGCUUUGCAUAGUCUCGCCCCUAAGUCCAAAGUGGGAUGCAGAUGGAGCUCUAUAUGCUAAAGGCCCCUGGAAUCAUAACCGUGUGUUUCCUAAAGUUUAUUCAUCAAAACAGCCAACAUUAAA